Microtus ochrogaster (prairie vole) is the source of this 122-nucleotide small nucleolar RNA. The record is from Ensembl. NCBI's taxonomy places the organism in Eukaryota, Metazoa, Chordata, Mammalia, Rodentia, Cricetidae.
AACACCCGUGCUUUUGGCAAACUGGUGGACAAAGAAAUAAAAGACAGGUGCAAAACUAAACCCCUUUACAACCCAGAAUUCAUUGUUUAUUCUGAGUUUUGAUACUGGUAAGACAUGAUACU